AGCAGUAGCCGCGGUAAUACAGAGGGUGCGAGCGUUAAUCGGAUUUACUGGGCGUAAAGCGUGCGUAGGCGGCUUUUUAAGUCGGAUGUGAAAUCCCUGAGCUUAACUUAGGAAUUGCAUUCGAUACUGGGAAGCUAGAGUAUGGGAGAGGAUGGUAGAAUUCCAGGUGUAGCGGUGAAAUGCGUAGAGAUCUGGAGGAAUACCGAUGGCGAAGGCAGCCAUCUGGCCUAAUACUGACGCUGAGGUACGAAAGCAUGGGGAGCAAACAGGAUUAGAGAUCCCUGUAGUCCCUGUCUCUUAUAC
Molecule: ribosomal RNA, 303 nt
Filed under: uncultured bacterium
Lineage: Bacteria
Description: partial 16S ribosomal RNA
Rfam family: Bacterial small subunit ribosomal RNA
Source: RNAcentral